This 631-nucleotide ribosomal RNA is filed under the name Cupriavidus sp. IBb324. RNAcentral describes it as "bacterial SSU rRNA". It matches the Rfam family "Bacterial small subunit ribosomal RNA", at positions 382 to 1006 of the family's 1533-position model. Lineage: Bacteria; Pseudomonadati; Pseudomonadota; Betaproteobacteria; Burkholderiales; Burkholderiaceae. The record is from RNAcentral.
CCUGAUCCAGCAAUGCCGCGUGUGUGAAGAAGGCCUUCGGGUUGUAAAGCACUUUUGUCCGGAAAGAAAUGGCUCUGGUUAAUACCUGGGGUCGAUGACGGUACCGGAAGAAUAAGCACCGGCUAACUACGUGCCAGCAGCCGCGGUAAUACGUAGGGUGCGAGCGUUAAUCGGAAUUACUGGGCGUAAAGCGUGCGCAGGCGGUUUUGUAAGACAGGCGUGAAAUCCCCGAGCUCAACUUGGGAAUGGCGCUUGUGACUGCAAGGCUAGAGUAUGUCAGAGGGGGGUAGAAUUCCACGUGUAGCAGUGAAAUGCGUAGAGAUGUGGAGGAAUACCGAUGGCGAAGGCAGCCCCCUGGGACGUCACUGACGCUCAUGCACGAAAGCGUGGGGAGCAAACAGGAUUAGAUACCCUGGUAGUCCACGCCCUAAACGAUGUCAACUAGUUGUUGGGGAUUCAUUUCUUCAGUAACGUAGCUAACGCGUGAAGUUGACCGCCUGGGGAGUACGGUCGCAAGAUUAAAACUCAAAGGAAUUGACGGGGACCCGCACAAGCGGUGGAUGAUGUGGAUUAAUUCGAUGCAACGCGAAAAACCUUACCUACCCUUGACAUGCCACUAACGAAGCAGAGA